RNAcentral lists this ribosomal RNA (302 nucleotides) under uncultured bacterium. RNAcentral describes it as "partial 16S ribosomal RNA". It matches the Rfam family "Bacterial small subunit ribosomal RNA", at positions 508 to 809 of the family's 1533-position model. The record is from RNAcentral.
GCAGUAGCCACGGUAAAACGUAGGUGGCGAGCGUUGUCCGGAAUCAUUGGGCGUAAAGGGAGCGCAGGCGGGCAUGUAAGUCUUUCUUAAAAGUUCGGGGCUCAAUCCCGUGAUGGGAAAGAAACUACAUGUCUUGAGUACAGGAGAGGAAAGCGGAAUUCCCAGUGUUGCGGUGAAAUGCGUAGAUAUUGGGAGGAACACCAGUGGCGAAGGCGGCUUUCUGGACUGCAACUGACGCUGAGGCUCGAAAGUCAGGGGAGCGAACGGGAUUAGAUACCCCCGUAGUCCCUGUCUCUUAUACA